UGUAAAACACACAAUUUGAGCGAUAUUAUUGCAAAGCUUAUUUGCUUUCAACUCGUUCUUCAUUGAAUUAACUUUCAAACUUAUCGAGGACUAAUUUCUUGUGUCAUUCAACAAUCAAAGUAAGAUUCGUAAGUUUUGUAAUCAUGGGGUCAAGAUAUUAUUUGCGAUUAUAUUGGUUAUUUGGUUCAAUAAUUUAUCGGGUCGAGCUUUUCUAAACAUUAAUUCUUGGUUUUCUUGGGUUUGAUCUAGUUUGUCGUGGGUUCUGUAGCUUUAAUUACUAGGUGGGUUAACACAUUUUUGAUGCCUGAAACUGAAUUAUGAGAGUUUGUUACUUUGUUUUGCAUGUUUGAAACCAUAUUGGGGACUGAAACUCACAAACACAUGCGUGACCUUCAUUUUAGAUGUUUGAUUUGUGUUUUCCAGCCUUAGAAUAUAUGCUGUCUUAAACCAGAAAUGUAGGAGGAUUUCUGAAUGUGAUCGCCCGAGGUUUUUGAAGUGCAUUAUUCACUUAUAGAUUGUCUUAUCAGUACAUGUGAGUUUUGCCUCUUGUCUUCCCAAAUGGAAUGUUUCGAGCUAUUGUAUCUUCUUUCGGAUGUUCCGACUCUUAUGGAUUAUAACAGCUUCAUUUCUUGAAUUCUCUCCAUGAGGAUAGAUGUCCUGUCUCACUGUACACGUCCACUUCUGUGGUUUUACGUUGUUAACUUCUUCAGACACCAUCUCAAAGCAUCCAUGAUGAUCAACCAUAGUAUGAAUAUUUGCUUCUUGUCUUAGUCCAUUAGCUUUGUGCUGGACGUUUAUUUCAAUAUGAAAGAUGUCGGUUUCAGUUUCAGCUGCAUAUUUUCACAAUUGUCACACAGUAAUUGUUACACAAAUUUAUUUGUAGUGCCCAAUUCCUAAGUAAAAUGAGUUUUAGUUCUUAUGACCCAGCAAUAAGGGGGUUGCAUCAUUAAUACUCAAAAUUACGUGCAAAUACCACAAGCUGCAUUCUUCAUAAAUAGGGUUUAUAAAUGAUUCGUGAUAAUAGUGGACUAGGGCACAAUCAACUAUGCAGACUGAAUAUAUAAUAGCUUGUAUCCAUAUAAAUGAUGUACUUUGUAAGAAGUUAUUUUCUGUUCACGCA
RNAcentral lists this long non-coding RNA (1120 nucleotides) under Olea europaea subsp. europaea. The record is from RNAcentral. Lineage: Eukaryota; Viridiplantae; Streptophyta; Magnoliopsida; Lamiales; Oleaceae.